RNAcentral lists this transfer-messenger RNA (139 nucleotides) under Akkermansiaceae bacterium. RNAcentral describes it as "partial transfer-messenger RNA". It matches the Rfam family "transfer-messenger RNA", at positions 1 to 138 of the family's 374-position model. From Rfam's summary of the family: Bacterial tmRNA, also known as 10Sa RNA or SsrA, is named for its dual tRNA and mRNA-like properties. Its role is to liberate the mRNA from a stalled ribosome. Lineage: Bacteria; Pseudomonadati; Verrucomicrobiota; Verrucomicrobiia; Verrucomicrobiales; Akkermansiaceae. The record is from RNAcentral.
GGGGGCGUUCUGGUUUCGACUGGAUGCUUGAAACGCUGGCUGCAUGUAGAGGUUGAUCGGUUGGCCUCUUUAAAAAGCCGUUCAAAACAAAUAAUUGCAGACUCUAACGAGCUCGCACUUGCUGCUUAAUUGACAGCAA